GGCGGCGUGCUAUACAUGCAAGUCGAGCGGACAGAUGGGAGCUUGCUCCCUGAUGUUAGCGGCGGACGGGUGAGUAACACGUGGGUAACCUGCCUGUAAGACUGGGAUAACUCCGGGAAACCGGGGCUAAUACCGGAUGCUUGUUUGAACCGCAUGGUUCAGACAUAAAAGGUGGCUUCGGCUACCACUUACAGAUGGACCCGCGGCGCAUUAGCUAGUUGGUGAGGUAACGGCUCACCAANGGGCGAACGAUUGCGUAGCCGAACUGAGAGGGUGAUCGGCCACACUGGGACUGAGACACGGCCCAGACUCCUACCGGAGGCAGCAGUAAGGAAUCUUCCGCAAUGAACGAAAGUCUGACGGAGCAACGCCGCGUGAGUGAUGAAGGUUUUCGGAUCGUAAAGCUCUGUUGUUAGGGAAGAACAAGUGCCGUUCAAAUAGGGCGGCACCUUGACGGUACCUAACCCAGAAAGCCACGGCUAACUACGUGCCAGCAGCCGCGGUAAUACGUAGGUGGCAAGCGUUGUCCGGAAUUAUUGGGCGUAAAGGGCUCGCAGGCGGUUUCUUAAGUCUGAUGUGAAAGCCCCCGGCUCAACCGGGGAGGGUCAUUGGAAACUGGGGAACUUGAGUGCAGAAGAGGAGAGUGGAAUUCCACGUGUAGCGGUGAAAUGCGUAGAGAUGUGGAGGAACACCAGUGGCGAAGGCGACUCUCUGGUCUGUAACUGACGCUGAGGAGCGAAAGCGUGGGGAGCGAACAGGAUUAGAUACCCUGGUAGUCCACGCCGUAAACGAUGAGUGCUAAGUGUUAGGGGGUUUCCGCCCCUUAGUGCUGCAGCUAACGCAUUAAGCACUCCGCCUGGGGAGUACGGUCGCAAGACUGAAACUCAAAGGAAUUGACGGGGGCCCGCACAAGCGGUGGAGCAUGUGGUUUAAUUCGAAGCAACGCGAAGAACCUUACCAGGUCUUGACAUCCUCUGACAAUCCUAGAGAUAGGACGUCCCCUUCGGGGGCAGAGUGACAGGUGGUGGCAUGGUUGUCGUCAGNCUCGUGUCGUGAGAUGUUGGGUUAAGUCCCGCAACGAGCGCAACCCUUGAUCUUAGUUGCCAGCAUUCAGUUGGGCACUCUAAGGUGACUGCCGGUGACAAACCGGAGGAAGGUGGGGAUGACGUCAAAUCAUCAUGCCCCUUAUGACCUGGGCUACACACGUGCUACAAUGGACAGAACAAAGGGCAGCGAAACCGCGAGGUUAAGCCAAUCCCACAAAUCUGUUCUCAGUUCGGAUCGCAGUCUGCAACUCGACUGCGUGAAGCUGGAAUCGCUAGUAAUCGCGGAUCAGCAUGCCGCGGUGAAUACGUUCCCGGGCCUUGUACACACCGCCCGUCACACCACGAGAGUUUGUAACACCCGAAGUCGGUGAGGUAACCUUUAUGGAGCCAGCCGCCGAAGGUG
RNAcentral lists this ribosomal RNA (1449 nucleotides) under Bacillus amyloliquefaciens. RNAcentral describes it as "16S ribosomal RNA". It matches the Rfam family "Bacterial small subunit ribosomal RNA". The record is from RNAcentral. Lineage: Bacteria; Bacillati; Bacillota; Bacilli; Caryophanales; Bacillaceae.